CUACUGCCGUGAUGGUACCGGCUCUCUUCCUCCUUGGGACGGCGCCCGACUAGGAUGCAUGUAUGACGAGACCGGGCCAAGAGGUUGGCCUCCGGGUAUGAUAGCUUCACAGGACUGUCCUUGGAGCCAUGGCUACAUAAUGAGCUACGAGUUCAAAGUUGCUUAAAUGUACUCCUUUUCCAGUUGCUGUGCAAGAGAAAUAAUGAAUUUCUACAAUCGUCCAAAUUACACCUGUUUGAGCCGCGUAAACAGAGCGCUUCAUCAUGCUCAUUCAAAAUACUUCCCAGGAGACAGGGUGAAAAGGAACCGCUUCUGCAGGAAAGUGUACUAUGAGUUGAACUAUAACUAUAGAAAAGCUGACAAGGUUUGCAUCCUCGGAAAUUGUACAACGCGACCUACGGACGAUUGUGGCGAAUAACCAGAAUAACAGCACGCGACAUGAUUUUUUUCAUCUGUACUAACCUCUAGCCUCUUCUGGUAAAUAAAAAUGACAGACUUCUUGGA
Dermacentor albipictus is the source of this 504-nucleotide long non-coding RNA. RefSeq lists it as uncharacterized. NCBI's taxonomy places the organism in Eukaryota, Metazoa, Arthropoda, Arachnida, Ixodida, Ixodidae. The record is from RefSeq and is a predicted model, not a curated record.